AUAAGCCCUGGGCAGGAGAACUACCAGGAUCCUGAAGGAAGUGUGGGGAACCGCAGGAGCCUCUCAGGACCUCAGGCGACGUCCCCAGUCCCUGUUUUCCUCAGGACACCACAUUUCUGGUGACGGGACAGACAGACAUGCGGGAAGACAGGAGGGUGCUGAUGACAAGGCAUUUCCAGUUGGAUCGGGCCAGUGUCAUGCCUCGUGGCCCCUGAUGCCCAGUUAACCAGGAUCACACAAAGGUUUCACUCUUUAUUGUAGGUGUGUGAAAAGACUUACUGGUCUCAUGUAUUUUAUGUGUGUUGAUCUCUAUGUUUUGACUCAUCCAAAUAAACACAGCAAGACUCAUUUACAAGG
Long non-coding RNA from Orcinus orca (killer whale), 357 nucleotides. RefSeq lists it as uncharacterized. NCBI's taxonomy places the organism in Eukaryota, Metazoa, Chordata, Mammalia, Artiodactyla, Delphinidae. The record is from RefSeq and is a predicted model, not a curated record. The transcript is spliced from 3 exons.